UUUAAAGUGUAAUGUAAGUCGCUUUGGAUAAAAGCGUCUGCUAAAUGAAAGAGG
Molecule: regulatory RNA element, 54 nt
Organism: Gasterosteus aculeatus (three-spined stickleback)
Lineage: Eukaryota; Metazoa; Chordata; Actinopteri; Perciformes; Gasterosteidae
Rfam family: UnaL2 LINE 3' element
About the family: The eel long interspersed element (LINE) UnaL2 and its partner short interspersed element (SINE) share a conserved 3' tail containing a stem-loop that is critical for their retrotransposition.
Source: Rfam